CUUCGGCUUAGAAAUGAAGAUAAGCACCAACCCCCAGAGUCGGACACAACUGGACUUAGCAGGCCAUGCACGUUUGUUUCGUGCAUUGAUGUCCUUACUCCCAUACUAUGGGGAUGGGGUGCCAAUGCACCCUGUCCCAUUCCUAUUGGGUUAUCUAGCAAUCAUGCAUGCAUUUUCAAUGUGGGAUGGUUUAUGUAGUUAGUUUUGUUUAUUGCUUAGUAACCUGAAGCCAAAGCAUUCCAGAGUUGAUGGCACCAUUUUAGGGGUUUUGCAUGCGAUGUGGAAAUGGGAGUAUACUUCCUGGAGAUAUACAGGAAGUUACAUAUGCCUUUAGAAUUUGGAGUAUAAAAGGAGAUACUUUUUUGUUCUCUCUCUUCCUGCCUCUUCAUGCUCUUCAUGUGAAUUUUUUGACUCUCCCUCCAAUUCCUCCAUCUCCUGUCAAAUCCCCCCAAGAAUCAAUUGGAUCCCCUGACUGCCAGUCUUCACUCCCAGAGAACCCCAUAAAGGUACCACUAGUUGUUGGUGCCUCACAAAUAGCUUGCACUUCUCUUAUCUUAGUCCAAUCCAUGGUGUCUCCUUCUUCUCCUUCACUCAUUGACCCAUCAUCCCCAGAGAAUCCCUCAAAUGACUCCUCAUCUGUAGGUGCUGUAAGUAUGUCCCGGAUCCUCUUUCUCUGCUGCUCUUCAUCAGAUUCCUGCUCCCAAGAACCCCUUUUUUCCCUUCUGGCACCCAUACUACUGUUUGUAACGUUACUCACAGGCUCUACUAUAACAGAAAACCAUGCAAACACAUUGAUGUUAAUUUAGCCUCUGCUUAAAAACUUCCAGAGCAGGAGACUCUGCCACACUGAGACAACAGCACAUUCCAAACAGCUCUUACUCUUGUUGAAUGCGAUUUCCUGCUUGAAUGCGAUUUCCUGCUUCUUAGCGGGGGGUUGGACUAGAUGGCCCUUGAGGUCUCUUCCAACUCUACUAUUCUAUGAUUCUAUGAUUCAGGAAAUUCCGUCUAAUGUUUAGGUGAAAUCUCCUUUCUCACAGUUUGAAUCCAUUGCUCUGUGUUUUAGUCUCUAGAGCAGCGAUUUAACAAAUCCAUCUAACAGUAUUAUUAUGUAGCCUACAUUUUCCUAGUUUGUUUGCAAAAAGAUCUUGGGGAACCUUGUCAAAGGCCUUACUGAAAUCAAGAUAUGCUACAUUCCAAGAAGAUCAUGGGGGACCUUGUCAAAGGCCUUACUGAAAUCAAGAUAUUAGCUAUCCCUUUUACUUCAGUGUCAUUUGCAAAUUAGAUAAGCAUGCCUUCUAUUCUGUCAUCCAAGUCAUUGAUAAAAAUGUUCAAUAGCACUGGGUCCGGGUUAGAACCCUUUGACACCCCACUGGUCACUUCUCUCCAGAAUGAAGAGGAGCCAUUGGUAAGCACCCUUUGGUUCAGCAAAUUUCCCAUAUCCACCUAACAGUAUCAUCAUCUAGCCCACAUUUUAUUAGCUUCUUUGUGAGAAUGUCACUGGAAAUCUUGUCAAAAGCCUUACAGAAAUUGAGAUAUGUUAUAUCCACAGCAUUCCCUUCAUCUAUCAAGAGUUCAUUUGGCAUACCUUGUUUUUGAGAAACCCAUGUUAACUUUUGUGAAUAUAGUAUUCUUUUCUAAGCACUUACAGACGAUGUGUUUUAAUGAUCUUCUCUAGGAUCUUUCCUGGGAUUGAUAGAAGCUGUGGGACACAAUAUAUAUCUUUUAGUGAGUGGUCUUGAAGCCCAGUGCAAUGCUCUUGCCAUACUGUCACAGAUGUAAUCAUAAAAGCAGUGAAAUAGAAACUGUGUUUGUUCGGAUAUAGAAAAACUGAAUGGAGUCAUAUUCCCACUGGUCUUGGUGAAGCCCCAUCUUUCUCAUGCUAUUUAUUUAUUUAUUUAUUUACAACAUUUAUACCCCGCCCUUCUCACCCGAGGGGACUCAGGGCGGCUAACAAAAAUUGACAAAAUGUAAUGCCCAAAAUGCAAUCAUAAAAACAAAACAAUAUAAACAGAUCUAUUAAUAACAUUGUUAAAACACAUUAUAAAAACCUUUAAAACAUAUAUAUAUAAUUAAUUCCAUUCAUCCGAGAUCCUAAUGCUACUCUUUAACUCUACCCGGUUUCCCUGAAAAUAAAACAUCCCCUGAAAAUAAGACCUAGUAGAGGUUUUGAUGAAUUGCUAAAUAUAAGACCUUCCCUGAAAGUAAGACCUAGCAAAGUUUUUGUUUGGAAGCAUAUCCGCCAAAUAGAACACCAGAGCAUGCAGGAUCAGUAAAUGUAUGUACCGUAGAUUAUUGUACAUGGAAAUAAUGAUAGUAACAAGAAAUUCCUGAUAGGAUUCACAGUUUGUCUGGUUAUGCUGGUUUGUGAUGACAACUACUGUACAAUAUAUAACAAAUGUUCUUUUUUUGUUCAACAAUAAAUACGAAUUCUUCAUGGAAAAAUAAGACAUCCCCUGAAAAUAAGACCUAGCGCAUCUUUGAGAGCAAAAAUUAAUAUAAGACACUGUUUUAUUUUCGGGGAAACACGGUAUGUCUGAUGAAUUGUGCCAUAAGAGGUUGGUGCUAUUUGUGUGAAGCUUCCAUAGCUCUCUAUCCUGGUCCUUUUCCCAGCUUGGAAAAACACUUUUAUUUCUUCAUUAGUCCCUGAACCUUUGUUUCAAGUUGGGUUUUCAAUCUUUUUCAACCUCCUAAGAUUUGGAUCUUCUAUGCUUUGCUCCUGACCAUUCUGUUUUAAAGAUGAGGAUGAGGAAAGCUAAAGCAGUGAGUAAUCUGAAGCAAUUCCAUAGAACAGUUUGUAAAUUAGCAUAGGCUCAUUUCUCAUUUGGUUGUGGCAAAGAUUAUACAUUGUGGAAGAAUAGGGGCAGGGAGAGGGAAAAGGCAUAUGUGUGUGUGAGGGGAGGGUAGUCUUUGUUGUGGAUCUGGCCCUGGACAAAGCCAGUUUUUCCCAAGGACAGGAAGAGGACAAAGAGUAGCUUCCUUAAAAAGGAGCUCUGGUGCCUUCUUACUGACCUUUCCUUGUUCAAUGCAACAUGUUGUAGUGUUCCUUCACAAUGGAGAACAUUCUGCUCUCUAUGUACUUGGCAAAUGUAGAAAUGGGCUUAAAAAAACCUUAUUGCAUGAAUCAUGAAUUAUUGGCAAGGUGUUUGAAGUGACUCCAAGAUUUCUUUUUGACUGACUUGCACUUUCUCGGGAGAUUUGUGUCCUUUUCCUCUGCUUCACCCUUGAUGUGAGGAGGCUGGACUUGGAACACAUAACUGAGUCAUUUGGCCAAGGCAUUUUCUCUUUUGAAAGCUGUUCCUAGAAACCACUUAAUCUUCCUGCCUUCAAGUUUUUCAGGAGAGGGCAUGACUUUCAUCAAAGAAAGGCUGGAUCUUCUACAGAAGAACAAAGGCUGGCAUCCCAUGGUGCCCAUUGUCUUGUCAAUACUCUUCAAACACAACCAGGUGAACGCCACCUUGCCUAGUAGGAGCAAUCUCUUUUUGUUUUGUUUUGUUUAAGUGUCACCUGCUACUUUUGCACUCAGAUCAGAAAGCCCCCUUUAUUCCUUGGAUUUGGUGAAGUGUAGUGCUGUCUCCAGCUCCCUCUGCUGACAGCCCUGUUAAUCCAAUUCGAACACUCUCUUGACAGCAGCCGCAGAUCCUUCUUCCCUUGUGAAAGUUGAUCAUACUUUGGAUAACAGUUCUAACAUUGGAGUUACUGAAUUUUCACCUUGGCAGGCACUUCCUUGAAACCCUCCCUGCCUUCUCAGACCGAAUAAUCAAUCCUCAUGUGAAAAUAAUUCUUUCUCUCUACUGUGUAUGCAAGCUAUCCACUAUUAAAGCAGUUUCAUUGGGGCCACGUGAGUGUUGGCAGCCAAGUGCUUGGUUCAGCAUUUGGCAUUCCAGGCACAAAAGAGGCUCAGGCCUCACAGCAAGGCAGUCAGCAGCCCAGGCUUUGUCUUCUCCGCAGUUACAUCCUGGGUUUACAUUGGCAGCGUCUCCCCCUAAUGCAGACUCCCUGUUCCUCAUUUGGCCUGGGAGUCAAUCUCUCUGCCUGAUCUGCCAAAAGCAUUACUAAGGGGGCUGAUGGUGCUCGAUGGAUUCUUUAAAGACAGAAACAGCUUUGUGUCUAUCUGGAACACCAAAAUCAGAGGCACAAUAUAGUGAGAGCAUUGCUGUAAUUCUGCCUGAAUUGUUGGUUGUUAUAAAAUGGGGUCACAUCCUAGGCCUGCAUGGAAAAAGCACAAAACCCAUGAAAAAGAAAUUAUUACAGCCAGCAAUGAACACUCUCAAAACACAGCCGCCACCUCCCCCGCCACAUUUUUAACCUCGAAUGUCCCCAUACUGGGCCUUUUGGCAUUGCUGAAUCUCCCAUCCUCAGUGCCCAGUGAUGAUUUGUGAAGCAAACCCAUAUGAUUCAUUUAUACACAGAAUUAGGUAAGCCCCCACAUUACUAGCCUUCAAGAAAGACUUGAAAACAUGGCUCUUCCGUUGUACUUUUGGAGAGUAACUACUAUAUACUUCUUUUCUGUUGCUCCCCUCCAAUAUCUAUCCUCUAGACUGUACCACUAUCUUAUGACCCUGUUCUUUAUGGUUUUUAUUCUUAUUCCUUUCUCACCCCGAGUUUUAACUUAGUGUUCAUGUGGCCCGCCCUUGUUUUUAUGCUUCCUGAUUUUGCGUUGUAAUGUAUAUUAUUAUCUAUUGUAUUGUUUAAUGUGUUAUGAUGUGUUGUUCUUUUAUAUUUUGUUAUAUUGUAUUGUUCUGGGCAUGGCCCAUGUAAGCCGCCAAGAGUCCCCGUUGGGGAGAUGGUGGCAGGGUAUAAAUAAAGUUUUAUUAUUAUUAUUAUUAUUAUUAUUAUUAUUAUUAUUAUUAUUAAUUCCUUCUCCCCGUGCAUAUGAUGCCUAAUAAAGUAGAUUUGGGGGAGCAAACAUGGCAAGAGUAUCACCAUUAUGAUUGUGACUACCAAAUACAGUAGAGUCUCACUUAUCCAACACUCGCUUAUCCAACGUUCUGGAUUGUCCAAUGCAUUUUUGUAGUCAAUGUUUUCAAUACAUCGUGAUAUUUUGGUGCUAAAUUCGUAAAUACAGUAAUUACUACAUAGCAUUACUGUGUAUUGAACUACUUUUUCUGUCAAAUUUGUUGUAUGACAUAAUGUUUUGGUGCUUAAUUUGUAAAACCAUAACCUAAUUUGAUGUUUAAUAGACUUUUUAUUAUCCAACAUAUUCGCUUAUCCAACGUUCUGCCGGCCCAUUUACGUUGGAUAAGCGAGACACUACUGUAGUUACUUAGGCCCCUUCUACACUGCCAUAUAAUCCAAACUUUCAAAGCAGACAAUCCAGAUUAUCUGCUUUGAACUGGAUUAUAUAUGUUUGUUUUAGGCCCCUUCUACACUGCCAUAUAAUUCAAUUCAAAGCAGAUAAUCUGGAUUUUAUAUGUCAGUGCAGAAAGGGUCUUAAAAGGUAAAGGUUUCCCCUGACGUUAAAUCCAGUCGUGACCGAAGAGCCGGCAUUGUCCAUAGACACCUCCAAGGUCAUGUGGCCGGCAUGACUGCAUGGAGCGCCCUUACCUUCCCGCUGGGAGCAGUACCUAUUGAUCUACUCACAUUGGCAUGUUUUCAAACUGCUAGGUUGGCAGGAGCUGGGGCUAACAGCGGGUGCUCAUUCCGCUCCCGGGAUUUGAACCUGUGACCUUUUUGGUCUGCAAGUUCAGCAGCUCAGUGCUUUAACACACUGUGCCACCAGGGGCUCCC
This 5727-nucleotide long non-coding RNA is filed under the name Anolis carolinensis (green anole). RNAcentral's name for it is "lncRNA (ENSACAG00000040950.1)". The record is from RNAcentral. Lineage: Eukaryota; Metazoa; Chordata; Lepidosauria; Squamata; Anolidae.